AUUGAACGCUGGCGGCAGGCCUAACACAUGCAAGUCGAGCGGAUGAAGGGAGCUUGCUCCUGGAUUCAGCGGCGGACGGGUGAGUAAUGCCUAGGAAUCUGCCUGGUAGUGGGGGAUAACGUCCGGAAACGGGCGCUAAUACCGCAUACGUCCUGAGGGAGAAAGAGGGGGAUCUUCGGACCUCACGCUAUCAGAUGAGCCUAGGUCGGAUUAGCUAGUUGGUGGGGUAAAGGCCUACCAAGGCGACGAUCCGUAACUGGUCUGAGAGGAUGAUCAGUCACACUGGAACUGAGACACGGUCCAGACUCCUACGGGAGGCAGCAGUGGGGAAUAUUGGACAAAGGGCGAAAGCCUGAUCCAGCCAUGCCGCGUGUGUGAAGAAGGUCUUCGGAUUGUAAAGCACUUUAAGUUGGGAGGAAGGGCAGUAAGUUAAUACCUUGCUGUUUUGACGUUACCAACAGAAUAAGCACCGGCUAACUUCGUG
Molecule: ribosomal RNA, 484 nt
Filed under: uncultured bacterium
Lineage: Bacteria
Description: partial 16S ribosomal RNA
Rfam family: Bacterial small subunit ribosomal RNA
Source: RNAcentral